GGGGGGGGGCCUAACACAUGCAAGUCGAGCGGUAGCACAGAGAGCUUGCUCUCGGGUGACGAGCGGCGGACGGGUGAGUAAUGUCUGGGAAACUGCCUGAUGGAGGGGGAUAACUACUGGAAACGGUAGCUAAUACCGCAUAACGUCGCAAGACCAAAGUGGGGGACCUUCGGGCCUCAUGCCAUCAGAUGUGCCCAGAUGGGAUUAGCUAGUAGGUGGGGUAACGGCUCACCUAGGCGACGAUCCCUAGCUGGUCUGAGAGGAUGACCAGCCACACUGGAACUGAGACACGGUCCAGACUCCUACGGGAGGCAGCAGUGGGGAAUAUUGCACAAUGGGCGCAAGCCUGAUGCAGCCAUGCCGCGUGUGUGAAGAAGGCCUUCGGGUUGUAAAGCACUUUCAGCGGGGAGGAAGGCGUUAAGGUUAAUAACCUUGUCGAUUGACGUUACCCGCAGAAGAAGCACCGGCUAACUCCGUGCCAGCAGCCGCGGUAAUACGGAGGGUGCAAGCGUUAAUCGGAAUUACUGGGCGUAAAGCGCACGCAGGCGGUCUGUCAAGUCGGAUGUGAAAUCCCCGGGCUCAACCUGGGAACUGCAUUCGAAACUGGCAGGCUAGAGUCUUGUAGAGGGGGGUAGAAUUCCAGGUGUAGCGGUGAAAUGCGUAGAGAUCUGGAGGAAUACCGGUGGCGAAGGCGGCCCCCUGGACAAAGACUGACGCUCAGGUGCGAAAGCGUGGGGAGCAAACAGGAUUAGAUACCCUGGUAGUCCACGCCGUAAACGAUGUCGAUUUGGAGGUUGUGCCCUUGAGGCGUGGCUUCCGGAGCUAACGCGUUAAAUCGACCGCCUGGGGAGUACGGCCGCAAGGUUAAAACUCAAAUGAAUUGACGGGGGCCCGCACAAGCGGUGGAGCAUGUGGUUUAAUUCGAUGCAACGCGAAGAACCUUACCUGGUCUUGACAUCCACAGAACUUUCCAGAGAUGGAUUGGUGCCUUCGGGAACUGUGAGACAGGUGCUGCAUGGCUGUCGUCAGCUCGUGUUGUGAAAUGUUGGGUUAAGUCCCGCAACGAGCGCAACCCUUAUCCUUUGUUGCCAGCGGUCCGGCCGGGAACUCAAAGGAGACUGCCAGUGAUAAACUGGAGGAAGGUGGGGAUGACGUCAAGUCAUCAUGGCCCUUACGACCAGGGCUACACACGUGCUACAAUGGCAUAUACAAAGAGAAGCGACCUCGCGAGAGCAAGCGGACCUCAUAAAGUAUGUCGUAGUCCGGAUUGGAGUCUGCAACUCGACUCCAUGAAGUCGGAAUCGCUAGUAAUCGUAGAUCAGAAUGCUACGGUGAAUACGUUCCCGGGCCUUGUACACACCGCCCGUCACACCAUGGGAGUGGGUUGCAAAAGAAGUAGGUAGCUUAACCUUCGGGAGGGCGCUUACCACUUUGUGAUUCAUGACUGGGG
RNAcentral lists this ribosomal RNA (1450 nucleotides) under Klebsiella pneumoniae. Its description in RNAcentral is "bacterial SSU rRNA". It matches the Rfam family "Bacterial small subunit ribosomal RNA". Lineage: Bacteria; Pseudomonadati; Pseudomonadota; Gammaproteobacteria; Enterobacterales; Enterobacteriaceae. The record is from RNAcentral.